Molecule: unclassified non-coding RNA, 202 nt
Filed under: Hevea brasiliensis (rubber tree)
Lineage: Eukaryota; Viridiplantae; Streptophyta; Magnoliopsida; Malpighiales; Euphorbiaceae
Source: RNAcentral
GCCUUGUGGAGUUAUCAUCAUUUGCAAAAUCACAGCCCGUUGAUGCCCUCUCUCCUCUUGAUUUGGAAGAAGCCGGAAGUGUCCUAACUCCUAAACAUUUCACUACAAUGUGGCCCCUCGCUUCUGUAAAUGGCUCAAAUGCAAAUUUGCUGGGUUUUGAGAAAUUGCUGGCAUCUGUGUUGGGUCCCAAGGCAAAUAAGAA